CCUACGGGAGGCAGCAGUGGGGAAUAUUGCACAAUGGGGGAAACCCUGAUGCAGCGACGCCGCGUGAGUGAAGAAGUAAUUCGUUCCGUAAAGCUCUAUCAGCAGGGAAGAACAUGACGGUACCUGAGUAAGAAGCCCCGGCUAACUACGUGCCAGCAGCCGCGGUUAUACGUAGGGGGCAAGCGUUAUCCGGAUUUACUGGGUGUAAAGGGAGCGUAGACGGUGCGCCAAGUCUGGAGUGAAAUGGCGCGGGUUAACUGCGGAAGUGCAGUGGAAACUGGCAGACUUGAGUGCGGGAGGGGUAAGCGGAAUUCCUAGUGUAGCGGUGAAAUGCGUAGAUAUUAGGAGGAACACCGGUGGCGAAGGCGGCUUACUGGACCGUAACUGACGUUGAGGCUCGAAAGCGUGGGGAGCGAACAGGAUUAGAUACCCUAGUAGUC
RNAcentral lists this ribosomal RNA (440 nucleotides) under uncultured bacterium. Its description in RNAcentral is "partial 16S ribosomal RNA". It matches the Rfam family "Bacterial small subunit ribosomal RNA", at positions 338 to 795 of the family's 1533-position model. The record is from RNAcentral.